Molecule: non-coding RNA, 3441 nt
Organism: Phoenix dactylifera (date palm)
Lineage: Eukaryota; Viridiplantae; Streptophyta; Magnoliopsida; Arecales; Arecaceae
Source: RefSeq, a predicted model, not a curated record
ACCAUCUGACCUAGCAAUGGCCUAGAUGGCCCAGCUCUUGGGCUUGUGGCCUUGUGCAAGAGCACGGCCCAAGGGCCUGCUCCCAAAUCUAUCGCGGCUUUGCCCCCGUUGGAAUCGUUGUGGGAGGAGGCGAACUCCACCUCCUCAAGUCCCAACGAGGUGGAGGAACCUCGUCGACUAUUUAAGCCCCCCCUUCCUUUGUUUCUUCUUUGGAUUUUGGCCGCCCUUUGCCGCUGUCACUAUGGUUAUAGAAGUUCCUCGCUGGAAAAUGAGUCAAGAUUUCAUAUAGGAUUAGAGAUGGAUCAUGUGAGAACAAUAUGUAAGAAGAUACUAAUGAACUUGUCUGGCCAAGUGCAAUACAUGUUAUACUUGCAUUUUAAGAAGCCCAACACCUUAGAAGAUGCACUCCAAUAUUGCCUCCCUCAGAUUUCUCAAGAAAAUUGGAAAGUUCUUUUCAUUAUGUGGAACAAUGACAAAUUCAAGGUUCUUAAUACUUGCUCUACUCGUGGAGAUGAUGAUGAUAAUGCUACUGUAAAUACCGGACCAAAUGGACCAACCUGGAUCAUAGUGUACGGUCCAUUUGGAAACCCAAACCUGCAACCAUGAUCGCCAGCUGUUGAGGCGGUUAUAACCGCCUAACAGGCACGAUCACCACCCCUCUUCUCUUACGGCUGAAGGCUGUUAAAGCCCAUGAAUCCCUCGCAAAGGAACUCCAUCACUCUCUCAUUUCUUCUCACUCUCUUCUUUUUCUGCUACAAGGAACGGAAGAGUAGGGAUCUGAGCCGCCGGAGGGAACAUCAUAGAGUUGUCCCGGAGCUAGGUAAGUCCCUGACUUCUUCCCUUGUAUUAUGCAAGUAGGAUCCAGUCUAGCCAUGAAACAAAAAACCAAAAAGGGGAAAAUGAAAUAGAACGGAUUGAAGGGUGAAGAAGAGAAGGAAGAAGAUGAGGAGGGAAGGGGGAGAUCUAACCUGCAGUGUUCGGCCUCUGAGCCGACAUUGACACGAUCGGCCACGAUCGUGGCCCCGACCGUCGAUGGCCGAAGACCCUUCUCCUCCCGAUCAUCUCCUUUCCCUAUUGGCCAAACCCUAAUCGAGCACAUCUAGAUUUGGUAGCCGAGAAUAUGGCCGCCGGUGGAGGGGUUCUCCUUCCCCUCUGCUGCAACAGACUCGGAGAACCGUUGGCUCGGCUGCAGCCGCCAUUGGUCUCGGCGAGGGUUGCGGCAGGGCCGAGGGGCUCUCCCUUCUCUCGGGUGACUGGGUUCAGAGAUCCUGUUCCUCAGAGGGGGGAUAGAAGAAGGGGGAGGAUGAAGAGGAUGGGGGGUCGGCCGCUACAGGCUGAGCCAUGGGCGAUGUUGGUCGGCCGCCGGCAUCGCCGACCUCGGAACUCUCUCCCUCCCGAGUACUCCCGCGAGCCUCCUCGCUUCAUAUGAGAAGAGGAGAAGAGGAGGAGGAGAUCAGGAAGGGAAGAAAGGAGGAGAAGAGAAGGAAAGGAAGAAGGGAAAGGAAGGUUCGGGAAGAAAGAAAAGAAAAAGAAGAAAAGAAGAGAGAAGAAAAGAAGAGAGAAGAAAAGAAAAAAAAAAUGUGGUGGGCUGAAAUGGGCCUGAUUCCGGAGUGGGCUUCAAAUAAAUUUAGCUUUAGAAGCUUGAGGUUGGGCUGGGCCCUGAUCCGAGCCCAGUGUUCUUAAAACCAAAACUAACUGGGCUUGAAGAGCUCAAAUUUUAAUAUAGGGACUAAAUUGAAUAUAGUUUGAGGCUAGGUUCUCUUUAAAUUAAUUAGAACUUAUAAGGUUUAAUUAUAAAUUAAACUAAUUGUGUUUCUGGGCCUGAAUACAAAUGGGCCCAGUAAUUAAAUCAGGCCAAGGGCCUGAUUCAGAACCUAAUUAAACGUCGGGCCUGAAUGCAAAUGGGCCCAGACCUGAACCAAAGGGCAAUUUGGUCUAAACCAGAAGUGAAAUUAGCUCAGACCUGAACCAGAAGCUAGAUCAGACCUGAAUCAGAGGUUGAAUCAGAUCUGAACCAGAAACUGAAUCAGACCUAAUCCAGAAAUUAAAUCAAAUCCGAACUAGGAAGUAAAUUAGACCAGAAGCAGAAAUUGAAUUAGGCUAUGGAUCCAAAAAUGAAAUUGAAUCCUAUGGAUGGGCUGUAAAUGACUUUAAGAUUAUAAAUACAUAGAAAUUAAAUGUGCAAAUGACAUGUAAUUUAAUGAUCUUACUAGGUAUUGGAGAAUUGGCAUUUGGUAAGCAAAUUAAGGUAAGUAACCUAUCUUAAUCUUAUUAUGGAUCAUGUAUCAUGUUUUAUAAGAUGAAAAAGUGAUAUUUAUGCAAUUGGAAUUGUGUAUAUGAAUUGUGGAAAAAGUAAUCCAGAUAUAAUCUUAUGUUUUAUCAAAUACUUGUGACUACUCGAUUAUGAAAUUGUAUAUGAUUAUUUAUGUUUUCACAAAAUUAGGAUCAAGCAUGUGUUAGCAAAUGAUUACAUGAUUUUGAAUAAAUAGCAUCCAUCAUGAUUAUUAUUAUAUUAUGUACACAUGAUUAUGAUGAUGUAGAAAGAUGCAUAGAAAAAUAAAGUUUUUAGCAUGAUCAUGAGUUUAAUUUAGCAGGAUGCCAUUAUUCACUUUCCAAUGUAUUUAUGAGAAAAGAUUUAUGAAAAGCAUGAUAUGUUUUAAGAACUCUCAGAUCGCUAUGCAUGAUCCCCGCCAGUGGGUAACAGUAACUAAGCAUACGACCCCCGCUAGUGGGUAAAAGUAACUUGGCUUUACGACCUCCGCCAGUAAGUAAUAAUAACUGAAAGAUGACCCUAUAGUGGUAAAGGCCUUGCCGUGGGAAUAAGAGCGGCCAUAGCUACACUACCAUCUGAGAGUAUGAAUUUCAAAGUAUGGAAUAAUGACAAAAGUUUUAUGAUGCAUAAUCAUAUUUAUGAAGUUGCAUGAAUGAACUUGCAUAGUUUUAUUACUGGUUGGAUUAUAUGAAAUGUUUACUUUAUCGCAAGCACAGAUUUCAAAGCAUGAAUAAUAACAACACAGAUUUCAAAGCAUGCAUAAUGAUAAGUACGGAUUUCAAAGCAAGAAUAAUGACGAGUACGAAUUUCAAAGCAUGAAAUAAAGACAAAAAUUUUACGUCUGGUUUGAUUAUAUGUUGUAUGAAGUGCUUACUUUGUUACAACCGUUGGUUUCUUAAAAUAAUGCACUAGUAUGAAAAAUAUUAUGCUUGAUCUAAUAAGAUUAUGUAUAGUUACUUGUUGAGCUUUAUUACUCACACCCAUAUAUUUAUGUUCUUAUAGAUGAAUAGGAGAUGCUAGGAACAAGGAGUGUGACAUGCUUCAGGGUUAUGAAAAAAGAUAAAAUAUUAAAUGUUGAUAUUUUAUAUGCUCUGUAAUCAACCCUUAUUGAUGAAAUAUUUGAUGAGAUUCAUGAAUUCAAUUGUUCAUAAUUGAUUUGAAGUUUUAAA